UCCUACGGGGGGCAGCAGUGGGGGAUAUUGCACAAUGGGGGAAACCCUGAUGCAGCGACGCCGCGUGAGCGAUGAAGUAUUUCGGUAUGUAAAGCUCUAUCAGCAGGGAAGAAAAUGACGGUACCUGACUAAGAAGCCCCGGCUAACUACGUUCCAGCAGCCGCGGUAAUACGUAGGGGGCAAGCGUUAUCCGGAUUUACUGGGUGUAAAGGGCGUGUAGCCGGGCCGGCAAGUCAGAUGUGAAAUCCCAAGGCUCAACCUUGGAACUGCAUUUGAAACUGUUGGUCUUGAGUAUCGGAGAGACA
Molecule: ribosomal RNA, 305 nt
Filed under: uncultured bacterium
Lineage: Bacteria
Description: bacterial SSU rRNA
Rfam family: Bacterial small subunit ribosomal RNA
Source: RNAcentral